This 279-nucleotide ribosomal RNA is filed under the name uncultured bacterium. Its description in RNAcentral is "partial 16S ribosomal RNA". It matches the Rfam family "Bacterial small subunit ribosomal RNA", at positions 506 to 784 of the family's 1533-position model. The record is from RNAcentral.
UGCCAGCAGCCGCGGUAAUACGAAGGGACCUAGCGUCGUUCGGAAUUACUGGGCUUAAAGAGUUCGUAGGUGGUUAAAAAAGUUGGUGGUGAAAUCCCAGAGCUUAACUCUGGAACUGCCAUCAAAACUUUUUAGCUAGAGUAUGAUAGAGGAAAGCAGAAUUUCUAGUGUAGAGGUGAAAUUCGUAGAUAUUAGAAAGAAUACCGAUUGCGAAGGCAGUUCACUGGACCGUGAUCGACGCUGAGGAGCGAAAGCUAGGGGAGCAAACAGGAUUAGAUA